This 392-nucleotide ribosomal RNA is filed under the name uncultured Gammaproteobacteria bacterium. RNAcentral's name for it is "bacterial SSU rRNA". It matches the Rfam family "Bacterial small subunit ribosomal RNA", at positions 370 to 779 of the family's 1533-position model. The record is from RNAcentral. Lineage: Bacteria; Pseudomonadati; Pseudomonadota; Gammaproteobacteria.
AAUGGGCGCAAGCCUGAUGCAGCCAUGCCGCGUGUGUGAUGAAGGCCUUAGGGUUGUAAAACACUUUCAUCGGUGAAGAUAAUGACGGUAGCCGAAGAAGAAGCCCCGGCUAACUCCGUGCCAGCAGCCGCGGUAAUACGGAGGGGGCAAGCGUUGUUCGGAAUUACUGGGCGUAAAGCGCACGUAGGCGGACUGGUCAGUUGGGGGUGAAAUCCCGAGGCUUAACCUCGGAACUGCCUUCAAUACUGCCAGUCUUGAGAUCGGAAGAGGUGAGUGGAAUUCCUAGUGUAGAGGUGAAAUUCGUAGAUAUUAGGAAGAACACCAGUGGCGAAGGCGGCUCACUGGUCCGAUACUGACGCUGAGGUGCGAAAGCGUGGGGAGCGAACAGGAUU